CCCCCCCCCCAACAUUAAAGCAUUUAAAAUCAUUUAAAACAUUGAUUAAGGGGUAUGAACUCACUUGUAGAUGGUCGUUUGGAUGAACUGGAUGAUGUAGGAUUGCCAGGUGACAAGUGAUGACUUGUUCACACUCAAAGAUCCUAGUUAACAUAUAAUCACACAUAUAUGUAUUCAAUUAGACUUUAAACCACUAAUUGACAAAGUUAAGACAUCCUAAGGCAUGUAAAAUGUCACACCACAAAACCACGAAUGGCGGAAACGUUCAGGGGUGGAGGACGUCAUGUACAGUAUCACAACAAUGUAAUAUAAUAAACAAGCAACAACAUCAUCCAUUGCAUUAUAAGUAAAGUUUUAAUACAUGUGUGUUCUUUCAUUGUGGUAAGACACCAAAAAUAUACAAUCAAAAUAAAAUAUGAGACUUGUCCGCUCCGUCUUCUCAAAACCUGGCCAUCGUACCUAUCUACUGCUGACCUGAGAAUACAAGUUAUUUUGAAAGCGAGUAUCAGCUUUAAAGCUGGUGAAUUCAUAAGAAAUUAAGUGUCGUUGUCUUGCUUAUGAAAAUCUGCUAUGAAGGCCAUGUAAACCUUUACAUGAAAAUGUUGAGGUAAGUAUGAAAUCCCUAGAAAAACCCUUAUUUUCUAUAAGUAUGAAAUGUAGUCUCCUACCAAGACCCGAAUGUUUUGUUAUAACAAUGUAGUCUUCUACAAAGACCCGAAUGUUUUGUAAGUAAAAUGAUAAUUUUCCUUUGGUUUUUUAGUACUAAAGUACUUAGUCUAACUCAUCGUUUAUGUGAAGGUAUCACAACAUAAAUCAAAGACCCGAAUGUUUUGUAAGUAAAAUGAUAAUUUUCCUUUGGUUUUUUAGUACUAAAGUACUUAGUCUAACUCAUCGUUUAUGUGAAGGUAUCACAACAUAAAUUAAACAGGAAAAAUCACUUAUGUACGUGUUAUCCCGAGGUACUGAGGUUAACACGACGAAUGUAAAUGUUAUCCCGAGGUACUAGGGCUAACAUAAUACAUAUAACCUAAUGAACAUCCGAAGAUUGUCCAC
This 1053-nucleotide long non-coding RNA is filed under the name Lactuca sativa (garden lettuce). Its description in RNAcentral is "long non-coding RNA (LSAT_LNC009645)". Lineage: Eukaryota; Viridiplantae; Streptophyta; Magnoliopsida; Asterales; Asteraceae. The record is from RNAcentral.